GACGAACGCUGGCGGCGUGCUUAACACAUGCAAGUCGAACGGAAAGGCCCUGCUUUUGUGGGGUGCUCGAGUGGCGAACGGGUGAGUAACACGUGAGUAACCUGCCCUUGACUUUGGGAUAACUUCAGGAAACUGGGGCUAAUACCGGAUAGGAGCUCCUGCUGCAUGGUGGGGGUUGGAAAGCUUCGGCGGUUGGGGAUGGACGCGCGGCUUAUCAGCUUGUUGGUGGAGUAGUGGCUUACCAAGGCUUUGACGGGUAGCCGGCCUGAGAGGGUGACCGGCCACAUUGGGACUGAGAGACGGCGCAGACGCCUACGGGAGGCAGCAGUGGGGAAUAUGGCACAAUGGGCGGAAGCCUAAUGCAGCAACGCCGCGUGCGGGAUGACGGCCUGCGGGUUGUAAACCGCUUUCGCCUGUGACGAAGCGUGAGUGACGGUAAUGGGUAAAGAAGCACCGGCUAACUACGUG
This 468-nucleotide ribosomal RNA is filed under the name uncultured bacterium. Its description in RNAcentral is "partial 16S ribosomal RNA". It matches the Rfam family "Bacterial small subunit ribosomal RNA", at positions 28 to 507 of the family's 1533-position model. The record is from RNAcentral.